This 11444-nucleotide long non-coding RNA is filed under the name Homo sapiens (human). RNAcentral describes it as "HSALNT0013014". The record is from RNAcentral. Lineage: Eukaryota; Metazoa; Chordata; Mammalia; Primates; Hominidae.
GUCAGUGUCUCAGGGUCUUGCAUUCACUCCAAGACCUAUUUUUAUUCUGUUUAAUCAGUCUUAUGAGGCAGCCUUGUUAACACACUAUUAUUGUUUUUUUUAAUUUUUGUGGAUACACAGUAGGUAUAUAUAUUUAUGGGACACAUGAGACAUUUUGGUACAGGCAUGCAAUGUAUCAUAAUCACAUCAUGGAAAAUUGGGUAUCCAUCCCCCCAAGCAUUUAUUCUAGGUGUUAUAAACAAUCCAAUUAUAUCCUUUUAGUUAUUUUCAAUUAAAUUAUUAUUGACUAUUGUCACCCUGUUGUGCUAUCAAAUAUUAGGUCUUAUUCAUUCUUUUUAACAUUUUUUAACCCAUUAACCAUCAUCACCUCCCCACCAGCCCCCACUACCCUUCCCAGCCUCUGAGAACCAUCCGUCUACUCUCUAGCUCCAUGAGUUCAAUUGUUUUGAUUUUUAGAUCCCACAAAUAAGUGAGAAAAUGCGAUGUUUUCUUUCUGUGCCUGGAUUAUUUCACUUAACAUAAUGACCUCCAGUUCCAUCCAUGUUGUUGCAAAUGACAGGAUCCCUUUUUUUUUAUGGCUGACUAGUACUCCAUUGUGUAUAAGUAUCACAUUUUCUUCAUUCAUCUGUCGAUGGACACUUAGGUUCCUUCUAAGUCUUGGCUAUUGUGAACAAUGCUGCAACAAACAUAGGGGUGCAGAUAUCUCCUCAAUAUACUGAUUUGCUUUCUUAUAGGUAUAUAUCCAGGAGUGGGACUGCUGGAUCAUAUAGUAGCUCAAUUUUCAUUUUUCUGAAUAACCUCCAAACUGUUCUCCAUGGUGGUUGUACUAACUUACAUUUCCACCAACCAUGUACGAAGGUUUCCUUUUCUCCGCAUCCUUGCCAGCAUUUGUAAUUGCCUGAUUUUUGGUUAAAAGUCAAGUAAACUGAGUGAGAUGAUAUUCAUUGUAGUUUUGAUUUGCAUUUCUCUGAUGAUCAGCGAUGUUGAGCACCUUUUCAUAUGCCUGUUUGCCAUACGUAUGUCUUCUUUUGAGAAAUGUCUAUUCCAGUCUUUUGCCCAUUUUUUAAUUGGAUAAUUAGAAGUUUUUCCUACAGAGUUGUUUCAGCUCCAUAUAUAUUCUGGUUAUUAAUCCCUUAUUAGAUGGUGUAUUAGCCCAUUUUCACCCUGCUAUAAAGGACUUCCCUGAGACUGGGUAAUUUAUAAAGGAAAGAGGCUUAAUUGACUCACAGUUCCAGAUGGCUGAGGAGGCUGCAGGAAACUUACAAUCAUGGUAGAAGGGGAAGCAGGCACAUCUUACAUGGUGGCAGGUGAGAAACAGCAAGCAAGAGCAGGGAAAACCACCUUAUAAAACCAUCAGAUCUCGUAAGAACUCACUCACUAUCACGAGAACAGCACGGGGGAACCCCUGCCCCAUGAUCAAAUCACCUCCCUCCCUCAACACAUGGGAAUUACAAUUCAAGAUGAGAUGUGGGUGGGGACACAGAGCUAAAUCAUAUCAGAUGGGUAGUUUGCAGAUAUUUUCUCUCAUUCUGUGGGUUGUUCUCUCUUCAUUUUGUUGAGUGCUUCCUUUGCUGUGCAGAAGCUUUUUAACUUGAUGUGAUCCCAUCUGUCCAUUUUUGCUUUGGUUGCCUGCCCUUGUUGGGUAGUACUCAAGAAAUUUGUGCCCAUAUCAAUGUCUUGGAGAGUUUCCCCAGUGUUUUCUUGUCGUAGUUUCAUAGUUUGAGGUCUUAGAUUUAAGUCUUUAACUCAUUUUGAUUUUAUUUUUGUAUAUGGUGAGAGAUAGGAAUCUAAUUUCAUUCUUCUGCAUGUGGAUAUCCAGUUUUCCCAGCACUAUUUAUGGAAGAGACUGUCAUUUCCACAGUGUAUAUUCUUGGUACCUUUGUCGAAAAUAAGUUUACUGUACGUGUGUGGAUUUGUUUCCAGGUUCUCUUUUCUGUUCUAUUGGUCUAUGUGUCUGUUUUUAUGCCAGUACCAUGCUGUUUUGGUUACUAUAGCUCUGUAGCACAAUUUGAAGUCAGGUAAAGUGAUUCCUCCAGUUUUGUUCUUUUUGCUCAGGCUAGCUUCAGCUAUUCGGGGUCUCUUGUGUUUCAAUGUUAAUUUUAGGAUUGUUUUUUCUAUUUCUGUGAAGAAUGUCAUUGGGAUUUUAAUAGAGAUUGCACUGAAUUUGUAGAUUGCACUGAGUGUUGUGGACAUUUUAACAAUAUUGAUUCUUCCAGUCCAUGAACAUGGACUAUCUUUCCGUUUUUUUGUGUGUCCUCUUCAAGUUUCUUUCAUGAGUGUUUUAUAGUUUUUAUUAUAGAGAUCUUUCACUUCUUUGGUCAAUUCCCAGUUAUUUAGUUUUAUUUGUGGCUAUUGUAAAUGGGAUUACUUUUUUGAUUUAUUUUAACAGACUACUUUAAAUUGUGGAAAGGCAGCACACUGAGGAGCUCUGCUGGGAAAAGAUGCUGCUCCCCUCCUCCCUCAUCCUUCCUCCAAAUAACUUGUCUCUCAGCUUCCAGGUUCUGUGCCCCAUUCACACUCCUCAGCCCUGCCAAAUAAAUGUCUCUGAAGCCCACUUUGACGGGCCACACCAAUGUUCACAGACCCCUCAGAUUCAGGCUGACUGAUAACAGUGCUUGCAAGGACACCUGUAACUACAACUGUUGACUAUCUGCUACAUUCCAAAACUGUUCUGGAUGCUUCCUAUACGUAACCUUGUAUAACUUUCACACAAUCCUAUUAAGUAGGUAUUAUUACUAAUCCCAUUUUGUAGAUGGGAAAACUGAACUUCAGAGAAGCUAAGCCAGAUUUGAACCCUCAGCCCAUGCCCUCAUCACUACACUCCAGCAUCUUUCUCUCCUUCCAAGUGUCAUCUAGGUAAUGUCACACAGUGGUCCACACUGAGAGGCAAAGGCCAGAGCUAGGAACCAUUAACAGCCAUCUUCUAAUGCAGAAUUUCCCAAGCUAUGUUCUGUAGAACAAAUCCUUGAGAUGCUGGGCAGAGAAGUAGUUCCCAGGUCAUAUACACACAAGACAGGUUUUAUUUUCUGUCUGUCUCCUGGAGGUUUACAAUGUGCAGCAGCUCUGAUAAUGACUAGGCAAUUUAUUGAGAUUAUAUUUUGCAUUUUGUUCUCACUGUAGUUUUUGUUCCCCAAUAUUUUCUCUCUGAGAAAGUUUCCUGUCUUUUUUUGGUGCCCUCUUGAUUGAGAGAUUUGUUUUGUAGGAUCUACGUAGUCACUUUUUGACACACCCUUCCUGUCUUUGAUUGGGAGAAAUUCUGCUCGAUCCUCCCAGAGUGGGGAGGAAAUGGGCAAGUGCUUUUGCCUGGUAGAGAGUGGGUUCGGAAGGCAAAAGCAGACAGAGGAGUUAGAAAUUCUCCAAGAUGAAAAGGGAGAAGAAGUUGGGGGGUUCUGGGAGAAGUUGGCACCAGAAAGGGCCCCUGUGGAGCUGUCAGGACCUGAUGGGGCAUGUGAAGAAGCUGGGCACCAGGUACUGAGUCUCUGGCCUCAGCAAAGCUCCCCAAACCCAACCCUGGCACAAGCUCAGCAGAACCAUUCCCCGUCACACAGUCACGCAGGCCUGGACCAAGAGACCAUUGUUGAUGCCACUCUAUCCUGAGCCCAGAGGGUCCCACUCUGUGUCAUACCUCAGUACAUUGUCAUAUCCCUGGAGGGGGAGGGCAGGAUCAGAGGAACCCUCAGUGACAGCUGAGGAUAGAUUUUCCAUUAGUCCAGUGGGUUGGAGGUUCAGGUUCAGUCAAUUUGACUUUAAGAAAAUAAGGCAAUAUGACAGUUCUUGCACAUCCAAGUUUGAAUUUCAAUUCUUACCCACUAAAUUUGAUAAUUCAUGAUUUGUUAACUUUUUAAACACAUGAAACCUGUAUUAGCAAUUAUUGGAAUUUUGGUCACUAGAUCACCUUUUGGGAAUUCUAACUUUAGAACAUUGGCCUCCAUGUGACUUAACCUCCCAGGAAUAAUGGGGCCAACUAGACCAGGUAAGCAAGACAAGAAGCAAGAGGGGUAGAGAGCAGGAGGGGAGAGUAGGAGAGGGAGAAAGAAUGAAAAGGGGAAAGAAAAGAAGUGAGGGAGAAACCAAGAAGAAGAGAGAAAAAGCCAGGGAAGUGAGAGGAGCAGAAGAAGAUUGAGCCAGAGAACCAUGGGAGAAAGGGACAGAGAAGAGAGGAGAGGCAGAGAUUGGAGGAGGGGGAGGGGAAGGAGAAUCCACCAUGCAUCAGGUGGGGACUUGGCCAUGCACUCAGAACACCCAGGAGAAGGACAGGGCAGCACUCUGCCUGGCCUGUGAGUAAAGCACACCUAGGGGUUGCAGUUCCAUAUGGGUGUUCUGUGAGAGGGAGGAGAAGGCUGGAUGUGAGGCUGAGAAGAGUCCCAGCUUGUUUUGAGGGUGCAUUCCUUUCAGAGAGGCACCCCAGUGUGAUGACUGACAUUCCACUGCUGAAUAGAGGAGCUCCCCAGCUAGAGUAGAGUAGCCACAGCUAGAGGUUCAGCCAGGGCUUGAGUCCUAGAGCGUGUCAUACAGGUGGUGCCUGGAUUUCCGCCUGUCCAAGGGGCAAAGCUGACAAUGGGUGCCUUCUGUGAGCCCUCUCCAUCUCUGCCCUUCUCCUUCUUUGGAAUCAUUCCUCUCACCUCCCUUCCAGGCAUCUUCGGGGAAGAUGUCUAAUAAACCUAUUCUUAUUAAGUGUCUUAAUCUUUUAUCCUUCCCCAAAAGUAUAGGAAGGUGGGGAAAGAGCAAGGAAACAAUCUCCAAUUGUGAGAUUUUCAUAGGCUGUGCCUAGACAAUGGGAGAGGUGCUUAGGAAGGAAGGAGGGAAGGAAGGAAGGAAGGAAGGAAGGAAGGAAGGAAGGAAGGAAGGAAGGAAGGGGAUUAAGUAUUUUGGCCAGAUUUUCUCUGGUUUUUCUUAGGGUGAGACAGAUGACUAAGCUAAAAAUACAAAGUCUGACCAUGAAGCUGAAUGGUGAAGUGAACUGGAAAUCAGGAGACUAGAUACAGACCUGCCUUGGCUAGUUGGCUGCAAGGCCUGGAGUAGGUUAUUCACCCAAUGCUCCUUUUGUCUACAAGGGGGUGAAACUGAAGGGUUCAAUCUAGACAUUUCCUCUUGUAGGGUACCUCCCAGCUCUAAUAUUCAAUAGUUCCAUAAGUAGAGUUUAAUGUAAAAAUCAAGUAACACUUGCAAGUAAAUUAACCCUGUAUAUUCAAAGAGCUAUACUUAGUGGUACUUUGCCCUCCAGAACAAGUGUUUCUGGGAUCAAAUGCACAUUGAUGGAGCAAGGGGAGAUCGGGAAAGAGUCUGUGGCUCUGCCUUUCCCUCUCUCCCAGCCCAACACCCAGAAGGAGAAGCUUUCUGGCUUCUACCAACUUUAGCGUGGAUGCCUGAGGCCCAGCCUUCCCCAACUUUGUCUUAGGGAAGGGAGAUGUAACACCAUGACUCAACCUUGAAUCCCUUUACUGGCAUUAUUCCCCCAACAACCUUGAGGGAGUAUGCUAGUCAAGACUUUAGGUGACAAAUGUCAGGAGCUGAAACUAGUUUAAAAAAAGGGAGGGGGGAUUUAUUAGCUCAGAAAGCUGGGACAUCCAGAAAGGUAUCUGCUUUCAGACAUGGCAAGAACCAGGAAAUCAAAUGACUUCAUUAGGGCUCUCUCUUUCUGUGUUAACCUCUGCUUAUUUCUGCUUGGCUCCCUUCUUUGGACAGCCUGUUUCACAUAGUAGGUUAGAUAGCUAACCACACCCCCAGACUCCUAUGCUCCCAUUUUAGCAGCUCUAGUAGAAAAGAAUCUGUCUUUCUUGAUAGCCCCACCAGUAAGAACUGACUGACCCAUUUGGGUCAUAUGCUCCUUCUUGAAUCAGCCUUGGUGGUUGGGGGAUGAAAUACUCUGAUUGGAUGUACCUGGGUCACAUGCCGCCCUUGUCACUGGGAGAAUAAAGUGGAUGUCAGCUCCAUUUGAACCCCAUGGAAUGGGUUACCUACAGGAAAAGUUGUAGAGAAGGGAUUCCACUAGAUGAAACAUCAGAUUUCCUCAAAUAGAAUGUCUUCAAGCCCAUUAUACAGAUGAGAAAAUGGAGGAUCAGACUGGUUAUAUAACUCACCAAGGUUUACAAAACUAGGAAAUCACAGAGCUUGGACUUGAAGCCACAUUUGUCCAACACAAAAGUGCGUGUUUUAACCACAGCACUCUGCUAGCUCAACUGUCUCAGCAUCCUCAAGAGCCCCAUGACUCCAACUUUGAAUACUUGGGCUUGUCAUUUACGGUUCUCAAAAUAACUGAAGUUGCAGGCAGCCUAACAAUGCAUUCGAGACCCCUGGCUCCUCAAAGGAGCUUGCCGAUCUGCUCUGUUUCUCUUCUUCUGCCUCUCCCUAGUUGGAAGGAAGGAGCUAGGGAACCAUAAUCACGCCUCUCAUUGCCUCUUCCAAGGCUAGAUACACAGGUAUGUGGAAUAGGCUGAAUGCCACCAUUUAAGACAAAUGUUCUCAACCACAGUGUGCUCACAAUGGCAUGGUGAAUAAUUUGUGAGGUGUGUUGCAAGUAACUUGUUUUGUUAAUAGUUAAAAUACUGGAGUUUGCAAAUGAUUUAUCUUUUUAUAAAAAUAAGCAAGAGAAAAUUCAAGGCUAUCCCUAUAACAACACACACUGUGUUCACUUGUAUUCUUUUUUAUACUUUUUUGAGUGGGAGAGAGAGGUAAAGUUAAAGCAAGCAGGCAUUUGUCAUUACCCUGGGCAUAGCCAUGGAAGAUUUUCUUUCUUGUGUUCCCACAUGGAAAAAGGGCUGAGUAUUAUUGAUUUAAGGGAAGACUUCUGUUCACAAAUACCUCCUCAAUACCUACUUCCAAUUCCACCAAGUAAAAAAUACACUGGUUUUAAAAGCUAAUGCUGGGUAGGCAGCGUGUUCAACAGUCACUCACAUAUUGUUGUGAAUUAUAGGAUACCCUUGUUCAAGAAUAAGAUAUUCUAGAAACCUCAAAUGAAUGGAGACAUUUCUGAAUACUUUCAGAUAAUAAAAGCUUCUGAAGGACUAAAAACACAGUCAAACUUUAAAGUGAAGCUUUAAAUAGAGCUGAAAGCUUUUUGAGUUAAUAGAUAAUUUUAUGCAAAAUAACUUUCAUACUAGCAAGUAGAUUCCUAAGUGAGUGACAGAGUAGGCAGCUGAUUUUUUUUUUCCAUUGUGGCAAAGUGGAGCUUUAUCCUCAGUUCUUUUUACCUUCUGGAUAUUUUAAUUGCACACCAAAAUUCACUGCAGCAUAGUUACAAUAGCCAAGAGGUAGAAGCAACCCAAAUGUCAUCGAUGGGAGAAUAAAGAAAUGUGGUAUGUGUAUACAAGGAAAUACUACUCAACCUUGAAAAGGAAGGAAAUUCUGACACACGCUCCAGUGUGAAUGAACCUUGAGGACAUUAUACCAAGUGAAAUAAUCCAGCUAUAGAAAGAAAAAUACUAUAUGAUUCAACUUAUAUGAGGUAUUUCAAGUAGUCAAACUCUUAGGAACAGAAAGUAGAAUGGUGGUUGCUAGAGGGUGGGACCGAGGGUGGUGAGGAAAGAGGAAUUAUUAGCAUCAUUCCAUGAUUGUAGAGUUUCAGUUUUGCAAGAUGAAAAAUCUCUACAGAUUCACUGCACAACAGAAAAUUGUUAAGAUUGGAAAUUUUAUGUUAUGCAUUUUUUCCCACAAAUUUCAAAAAUGGAAAAAAAACAGAAAGGAAAGAAAAAAAAAAAGAAAGGACCAGAAAACUUGAGCUGAGUUAUUGUCAUUUAAGAUGAAAGAAAAAAAAGGGAGGGAACACAGAGGCAGUAAUUAGUCCCAGAACCUAAUUCUAGGAAUGUCCGGAAGUCAAAAGUUACUUGGUGGAAUUUAAAGUGGUACUGAGGAGGUAUUUGUGGGCAGAAACCCUCCCUUAAAUCAAUAAUGCUCAAGCCUUUUUCCAGGUUGGACACACCAGAAAAAAAAUCUCCCAUGGCUAUACCCAGUGUAAUGACAAAUGCCUGCUCUCUUAAACUUCACCUGUCUCUCUGCCCCACUCAAAACCCCUCUCACAUAGAAUAAAUGGCAAAAGAAAAGUCUACAUGGAGUAAUUUCUUUCAAAAAAGGAACAGCAGAAGUAGGAAGAGGGGAGAGGAAGAGAAGAGGGAGUGAGCAGCAGCUGAAAUUACAGUCUUAAAAAAUGCUUAUUUUCAAUUAUACACAAAAAAGAAAAUAAUGCAAAGAUUUCAUAGCCAACAUUGUACUGCGUAUAAAAAUUGUGCCACAGUAGUCACAAAAGCUCUUCAUGUUGCUGGCAGAGACAGAGAGCUUAUGGCUUAUUCAAACAAAAUCUCACCAAUCUCAAUGGUGAGGGUUUUGGGUUUAAUCAGAUUGCUUUCCCCACACCUACCAUAAGAAAAUGGAAGGAAGAUGAGAUAUAAUUUGGAGGCAUGGAAUCUUAUGAAGAUAAACAGGCUAAAGCCAGGGGUCUUGGGUAGUCAAAGGGAAGUUCAUGGAGAUGAGAGUAAAAGAGAUUGUUACUGGCAGACUAGAGGAAGUAUGGGCAAGGCAGUGAAGACAAAUUUUACCACUAGAAAAAAAAAAUGCUGCAAUUUCGUUCUGCCUUCUCCCUUCUUAGAAUCAAAAUAGCUUUUACUUAAAUGUUAUUAGUCCUUGCCUUCCUCCCACCCCAACUGCCAUGGGCACUAGAGGGGUGAGACAAAGCAAAAAUGAACCUGCAUGGGGAGCUGGUUCAGUAGCAGCAAUGGGGCUCCCAGGGAUUGUCCAAGGCAAGCUGCAAGAUACAAGGAGGAAUGUGCUGGAUUAUUGAUGCCAUGAGGUACACAAAAAGACAACUUGGUGGAAACUCUGUCACACAGAUUGCUACAAGAAAGCUAGCCUGGCUAGCAGCCAUGCAUAGUGUCACUUUAAUGUGCAGCCCUUCUGACCUGGGAGAAGGCUGCCAGAGGCGGCAUUCCCUAAGGGAGGCUGUGAGAUUUGCCCUGCCCACUCUGGACACCGGGUUCCUGUCAGCAGUAGUUAGGUGGGACUCUUUUCCCAGUCAGAUUCCAUUUAUGAAAAUACUGAGAAUUGUUCUUUAAUUUAGACUUUAAUAAAGAUAAGACAAAGGUUAAUUGAGAAUGGCUGAGUCUCACAUUACGUAAUGAAGACUGCCUAAAAUCUACUGUACUGUUAACUUGGAAAAUUGCUGCUGAAUUCUGAUAUUGACCUCCACGCCUUCCUAACUAAAGAAUUGAUGGGUGUGUUGAUUUUAUGUUACCCAAGUCUAGCUGACCUGUAUCUUCCAUUCUUUCUAAUUCUUGGCUCAUAUUGGUCUGGGUUCAUAUGGAUUUUUUUUGUAUCAAGGAUCUUGUUACUAAUUGCAGAGAAUUCUCAAUCUCUACAACUGUAAUUUAUCAAAGUUCAGAUUUUUAAAUAACAAAGGCCACAUCAAUUGCUGUCUAGGGAGGUUGCCUCGUCCAAAGUGCUCUGCAAAAUGCCUGCUGUCAGUUACUUAUAACCCAAAAAUGGCUCCUUUCUCUACUUGGAAUGUGCUGAUCUCCUCCAUCAUCAGCAUCUGCUUGCCUCUGCUCAAUUGCCUCUGCUGGUGGGCUGGGCUGGAAACUGGCUCCUUUUGGUAGCAAGAAUUACUUCAGGAGUGAAUCUCAUCUUCUCGCUUUGGAAAUCUAGAAAUACAUCCUAGAACUUCUGGCACAACCCCAUUCAACAUACACCUUUGGCCCUGGCAGGUUUUAGAGCUUUACUCUAUAGGUAUUUUAUGUUUACAGAUGAUGACUAGAAAGAAUUUGACUAGAAGACCACUAUGUAAGGACACGAGUUUAUACACUGUGCAAAGGUGCCCAGCCAAGGAGGCAAGUGGGGCUGAAUUCCAGUCCUGCAGGAAGGAAUGCCUUUUCUUUGCACAAAGGCAACAGCUCCCACCAACCCAUGUGCUGGUGAAGCUGUGUCCACACAAGGAGUAUCCUUUUUGAAUUUACACACUCCAUAGGCUGGCAGCAGCCUUCCCUGAAACAGAUGCUGUGGGAUGGGGAAAUUGGUUUUUAAAGAGCUCAAAGAAAAGUUUACCAGGAUCAUUCAUGGAGGAAAAGUCAGCAUGAUCAUCCCCAAAGUGGAAGCCAACAGUGAUCAAUCAAAAGACCAAAGAGGGCCAGGCGUGAUGGUUCACGCCUGUAAUCCCAGCACUUUGGGAGACGGAGGCAGAUGGAUCAUUUGAGGUCAGGAGUUCAAGACCAGACUGACCAACAUGGUGAAACCCUGUCUCCCCUAAAAUACAAAAAUUUGCCAGGCGUGGUGAUGGGCACCUGUAAUCCCAACUCAUUGGGAAGCUGAGGCAGGAGAAUCGCUUGAACCCAGGAGGUGGAGGUUGCAGUGAGCCGAGAUCGUACCACAACACUCCAGCAUGGGUGACAGAGCGAGACUCCCUCUAAAAAAAAAAGACCAAAGAGAGGCUAGGCACGGUGGCUCACACCUGUAAUCCCAGCACUUUGGGAGGCUGAGGCAGAAGGAUUGCUUGAGUCCAGGAAUUCAAGACCAGCCUGGGCGACAUGGUGAGACCCUAUCUCUACAAAAAAUUAAAAAAAAAAACUAGCCAGGUGUGGUGCUGAGUGCCUGUGGUCCCAGCUACUUGGGAAGCUAAGGUGUGAGGAUCACUUGAACCCAGGAGGCAGAGGUUGCAGUGAGUUGAGAUCAUGCCACUGCACUCCAGCCUGGGCAACAGAGUGAAACUGUCUCAAACAACAACAACAACAAACCCCAAAGACCAAAGAUUAAGAAUCUAAAGCUUUACUCUCUAGCUCCAUUGGAAGAUGCUUCGCUUUUCUUUUCUUCUCUGCCCCUGCAUUAUUUCUCAGAGAGAAAGAGCUGAUUUUUCCAUGUGAAAUAGGGAGGAAGAGGGCUUAGAUGAUACAGCACAUACCACAGAACACAGGAGCCAGUUCAAAGAUGCAUGAGCUGCCAUAAUACCACAAACACACCACUUAUCCCAUGGAGUAACUCCAAGGACUGAUCACAUUCAGCCACAGUGAGGGUAGCCAGGGGGCUAAAUGCACUAGCCCAACAUGCAUCAAAAGGGCAGCUUUGUUCAUUGUGCCAGCACCUGCCCUCAGAUACUGCUUCUUCCGGCUUCCCUUUCAUUCUCUCAUCUCUUGCGCUUUCUUUCUUGCUGCUCAUAUCCUAUGUUCUGGAAUUCUCGCUGCCUCCCAGACACUGUGGUUCACUUUGAUUGAUGCUCUUUGUUCUCUGUGUAAGUAGAGAAGGUGAGUCAGGAAUCCAAGUGUGGCUUAUCUGCAUCCCUUUGGCCCGGGGUCUCUCACACAAGGCUGUCAUGAGGGCGUUGGCCAGGACUGCAGUCAUCCCCAGGCUCAGCUAGAAGAGGAUCUGCCUCCGAGAUCACGCAGGUGGCUGUUGACAGACCUCAGGUCCUCACCGGCUGUUAGGUGAAGGUAUCAGUUUCUUGCAGCUUGGACCUCUCCAUGGGGCAG